UGAGGAAUAUUGCGCAAUGGGGGCAACCCUGACGCAGCAACGCCGCGUGAGUGAGGAAGGUUUUCGGACCGUAAAGCUCUGUCGAGCGGGAAGAAAUGCAUGGUGGCUAAUAUCCAUCAUGCUUGACGGUACCGCUAAAGGAAGCACCGGCUAACUCCGUGCCAGCAGCCGCGGUAAUACGGGGGGUGCGAGCGUUGUUCGAAAUUAUUGGGCGUAAAGAGCGUGUAAGCGGCCGAAUAAGUCAGAUGUGAAAUCCCUGGGCUUAACCCAGGACGUGCAUUUGAAACUAUUCGGCUGGAGUAGGGGAGAGGAAAGUGGAAUUCCUGGUGUAGAGGUGAAAUUCGUAGAUAUCAGGAGGAACACCGGUGGCGAAGGCGACUUUCUGGCCCUAUACUGACGCUGAGACGCGAGAGCGUGGGUAGCAAACAG
This 429-nucleotide ribosomal RNA is filed under the name uncultured bacterium. Its description in RNAcentral is "bacterial SSU rRNA". It matches the Rfam family "Bacterial small subunit ribosomal RNA", at positions 355 to 775 of the family's 1533-position model. The record is from RNAcentral.